CCACAAAUGUCAUACCAUCAUCA
RNAcentral lists this small nuclear RNA (23 nucleotides) under Arabidopsis thaliana (thale cress). Its description in RNAcentral is "snRNA_17726". The record is from RNAcentral. Lineage: Eukaryota; Viridiplantae; Streptophyta; Magnoliopsida; Brassicales; Brassicaceae.